CCGACAAGCCCACCAGGCCAGGAGCAACUUUGGGAUCUGCUGAGACGCCCUCUGGUGUGCUGGAAUCAGAUCUGUCAGUUUCUCCCUUCACGUCAGCUAAAGAGCCACUGUCCCCAGAAUCUCCCGAAGUCUGUGUUCAGGAAUUGUUAUACAAGCCUCAGACCUCAAAGCCAAGGACCAGACGUUCUUCCAGUUGAGAGAGGAAAAUCCACCUGACCCUAUGUAUGCAGCCUAGAAAGCCCCAAGCAAACUGGAUCUCCAUGACCACAAGCCGUGGGAGCAGCAGGCUGACAGGCUGAGGCUUCAGUCUGGCGCCCAGUGUGUCAGCGUGACCUGCAAGCUGCCGCCUGGCUGUCUGCCUGACUGUCACGGUGGACGAACAGUGACCAGGCUGGAGGUUUGAGGGCCACACACUAAAGUGCUCAAUACUGGGCUCCGGCUGGGGCCCCGCUAGCGAGUCUCUUCCUUCCUGUGUGCAGCGAGAAAGCAACGAGACUGUCCUUGGAGAAUCUGCAGCAGUGGCUAGCAGGUGCAAAGCUUUGGAGAAAAACCAAAGGCUUUGGGAGUUCCAGAAGGCACAGACCUGAAGGAUUCCCAUCCCACCGAGAGCAGCUCUCACUGGGACACAGACCCAGCAGGGGAGACAAUGCUGUCAUUGUGGGAAACGUAAUGGAGCAAGUGAGGCUUCGGAUGAGCAAGGCUAACGGGGGAGCCUGUGAGAAGGGGCAGAGCAUGUCAGCGUCGCUCCGUGACUUCCCUUUAGGGCUGUGGAUCUGUCUGAUGUUCCAGGAGCAGAGAGGAGCCGGAGAACAGUCACUAAACACCGAGCAGCAGCGCUUAGGCCCUGUCCUCCAUCCUUCACGUUUAUGGCUUCUUCGUAAUUGUUUAUGUUUUCAUUCGUUCUGCAUCUUGGGAGCCACUUUUGAUCAGUCUGCAGAGUGAUAAACUUUUCUGAUCUCAGAGGACCAGUUUGUCCUCCGCCUUGUUAAUAGCCUGUCAAAAGGCAAUGCCUUGGGCAUGUUUCAGAUUCUUACAGCUAAUGGCAUCGGCAUCAGGAGAAACAGCAGCCAAGUUUCCCCUCCUUGUCCUCACCUCAAACUCAUUUUCAGGAAGAUCAGAAGGCACCCUUCCAGGGGGAGCAGGGCUGACAGCCCAGGGAACCAGCAGCUGGAGACGAGAACAUGGGUGUUUACCUUUGGAGAACAGCUUUGAGAUCAAAGCAAUGGCUUUUAAAAAAUAAAACUUUGGCCCGGGGAUUUA
Non-coding RNA from Heterocephalus glaber (naked mole-rat), 1260 nucleotides. Lineage: Eukaryota; Metazoa; Chordata; Mammalia; Rodentia; Bathyergidae. The record is from RefSeq and is a predicted model, not a curated record.